Molecule: long non-coding RNA, 1302 nt
Filed under: Oreochromis niloticus (Nile tilapia)
Lineage: Eukaryota; Metazoa; Chordata; Actinopteri; Cichliformes; Cichlidae
Description: lncRNA (ENSONIG00000036090.1)
Source: RNAcentral
AUGUUCACCCACACAGACCUGGACCAGUACGCUUCAUCUGUACUGGAUUACAUCUCCAAAACCACAGACAGUGUCACCACCCAGAAACGGAUCACCAUGUACCCCAACCAGAAGCCUUGGAUGAACCGGGAUGUUCGUCGUCUCCUGAAGGCCCGCAACACUGCCUUUAGGUCAGGAGAUGCACACGCCUACAGUACAGCCAGGGCUAAUCUAAAGAAGGGCAUCAAAAAAGCCAAACACCAUUACAAAAAGAAGGUAGAAGAACACUUCUCCAACUCCAACCCCCGACGCAUGUGGCAAGGACUGCAGACCAUUACAGACUACAGGACCACCAAACCCUCCCCCACAUCCUCUGAUGUCUCCUUCCUCAACGAGCUCAACAACUUUUAUGCUCGUUUUGAGCGAGGGAACCCCACAACCAAAACAGACAUGACGCCAGACCACCAACCUCUGACUCUCUCCCCCACCGAUGUAGGAGCGGUGCUGAGCAGGAUCAAUGUCCACAAGGCUGCAGGUCCUGAUGGCAUCCCUGGGCGUGUUCUCAGAGCUUGUUCUGGGGAGCUUGCAGGAGUGCUCACAGACAUAUUCAAUCUGUCCUUGGCCCACGCUGUGGUACCGGCCUGCUUCAAAUCCACCUCCAUCGUCCCGAUACCCAAAAACUCCAACCUAUCUAGCCUCAAUGACUACCGCCCAGUAGCACUCACCCCCAUCAUCACUAAGUGCUUAGAGCAGCUGGUCCUAGCACACUUCAAAUUCUGUCUCGACCCCCACCAAUUCGCAUACCGCCAGAACAGGAGCACAGAGGAUGCAGUCUCCAUCGCACUGCACUCUGUCCUCUCACACCUGGACAACAACAACACCUACGCCAGAAUGCUGUUUAUAGACUUCAGUUCAGCAUUCAAUACAAUCCACCCCUCACAACUCAUCAGGAAACUGACAGACCUGGGCAUCAGUUCCCUCAUCUGCAAAUGGUUACUGGACUUCCUGACCAACCGCUGCUCAUCAACAAUCACAAUGAACACCGGUGUACCACAAGGCUGUGUGAUGAGCCCUUUCCUCUACUCCCUCUUCACCCAUGACUGCAGACCUGCUGAUGGUUCCAACACCAUCAUUAAGUUUGCAGAUGACACCACGGUGAUUGGCCUCAUCAGUGACAACGAUGAGACCGCCUACAGGGAGGAGGUGGAUCGUCUGGCUGAGUGGUGCGACACAAACAACCUGCUGCUUAACACCGAGAAGACUAAGGAGCUCAUUGUGGACUACAGGAAUGCUGACCCACAUCCACCCACCCAUCCACAUUAA